Molecule: non-coding RNA, 104 nt
Filed under: uncultured Anaerovibrio sp.
Lineage: Bacteria; Bacillati; Bacillota; Negativicutes; Selenomonadales; Selenomonadaceae
Description: SAM riboswitch (S box leader)
Rfam family: SAM riboswitch aptamer (S box leader)
About the family: The SAM riboswitch is found upstream of a number of genes which code for proteins involved in methionine or cysteine biosynthesis in Gram-positive bacteria. The SAM riboswitch acts at the level of transcription termination control. The predicted structure consists of a complex stem-loop region followed by a single stem loop terminator region.
Source: RNAcentral
CUCAUCAAGAGCAGUGGAGGGACUGGCCCUGUGAAGCUGCGGCAACCAUUGAUUGUAUAUCAAAACGGUGCUAAUUCCUGAUGGCGUUAUGCCAUAAGAUGAGA